UACAGAGGGUGCAAGCGUUAAUCGGAAUUACUGGGCGUAAAGCGUGUGUAGGUGGUUUUCUAAGUCAGGUGUGAAAUCCCCAGGCUCAAACCUGGGGAACUGCAUUUUGAUACUGGAAGACUAGAGUGUGGUAGAGGAUAGUGGAAUUCCCGGUGUAGCGGUGAAAAUGCGUUAGAUAUCGGGAGGAACAUCAGUGGCGAAGGCGGCUAUCUGGACUAACACUGACACUGAGACACGAAA
Molecule: ribosomal RNA, 240 nt
Filed under: uncultured bacterium
Lineage: Bacteria
Description: partial 16S ribosomal RNA
Rfam family: Bacterial small subunit ribosomal RNA
Source: RNAcentral